RNAcentral lists this ribosomal RNA (497 nucleotides) under uncultured bacterium. RNAcentral's name for it is "partial 16S ribosomal RNA". It matches the Rfam family "Bacterial small subunit ribosomal RNA", at positions 28 to 507 of the family's 1533-position model. The record is from RNAcentral.
GAUGAACGCUGGCGGCGUGCCUAAUACAUGCAAGUCGAGCGAACAGACGAGGAGCUUGCUCCUCUGACGUUAGCGGCGGACGGGUGAGUAACACGUGGAUAACCUACCUAUAAGACUGGGAUAACUUCGGGAAACCGGAGCUAAUACCGGAUAAUAUAUUGAACCGCAUGGUUCAAUAGUGAAAGACGGUUUUGCUGUCACUUAUAGAGGGAUCCGCGCCGCAUUAGCUAGUUGGUAAGGUAACGGCUUACCAAGGCGACGAUGCGUAGCCGACGUGAGAGAGUGAUCGCCCGCACUGGAACUGAGACACGGUCCAGACUACUACGGGAGGCAGCAGUAGGGAAUCUGCCGCAAUGGGCGAAAGCCUGACGGAGCAACGCCGCGUGAGUGAUGAAGGUCUUCGGAUCGUAAAACUCUGUUAUUAGGGAAGAACAAAUGUGUAAGUAACUAUGCACGUCUUGACGGUACCUAAUCAGAAAGCAACGGCUAACUACGUG